GCAACUUUUCCUCUGUACAGGUUUUGAUAAAUCUCCCCCACUAUGAAUAGUUCCUGGCCCUAUAUUAUAUGUACGAUAGCCUGAAAUCCUGACCGGGCAUGGAAUCGUAACCACUAUCUUGGAAACGGACCUGAGAAACGGAAAACACGAUUCCUGCCGGAUUAUCAGACUAUGUGUUUCAUUGGUGCUCAGUUGUAAUAUUUAGCUACUUGUGGAAAUAACGCUACUAUUUAUGUACUUUGUGCAACAGUCAAACACUUGACUAAUAUAGUUUUUGGCGAUUUAGUUGGUCUGUCCUGAGGACGCCACAUAAUUGUGGUAGAACUACAUUUAGUCGACUGUUAACAGAAGAUAUAUUAGACUUGAAUAAUGUCUUGUUACUAUUACCAGUUACUAUCAAGCAUUGUUUGCUAGGGGCCACAACUAACUUGGCAACUUGUACUGUAAACCUAUCAGUUUUAACAAUUUUUGAUUAUUUCGGGUUUAUUUGGAAUUUUUGAGCACUAUGUGGUGUGUAUUUUACAUACACUGUUAAAAGUUAAGUUUUCGGCACCUCCUGACUGUACUUGCUGUGUUCUAGUACUAAUAUGGUAUUUCUCUAUAGCUGGGAGUAAUUGGACCCCUUGUAGGUCACUAUGUAAUACCUUGCAAGUUUUUGUUGUCUUAUAAAUAAGAACAGUAAGAAUUGGUUCG
This is a long non-coding RNA of Hyla sarda, 693 nucleotides long. RefSeq lists it as uncharacterized. The transcript is spliced from 3 exons. Lineage: Eukaryota; Metazoa; Chordata; Amphibia; Anura; Hylidae. The record is from RefSeq and is a predicted model, not a curated record.